AUUCUGCCCAUACGGGGAGGGAUGAGAAGCUUCGUCCAAGGUGCGACUCGAACGCCAGCGAGAAAGCGUUGCCGCAGGCAACGACCCGAAGGGUGAAGCGCGCAGCGCUAGUAAUUCUUCCCCCACCACCA
This 131-nucleotide small RNA is filed under the name Escherichia coli. RNAcentral describes it as "RtT sRNA". It matches the Rfam family "RtT RNA". Rfam says of the family: This family represents a bacterial cis-regulatory element known as RtT RNA. The exact function of RtT is unknown although it is thought that it may be involved in changing the cellular response in relation to amino acid starvation. Lineage: Bacteria; Pseudomonadati; Pseudomonadota; Gammaproteobacteria; Enterobacterales; Enterobacteriaceae. The record is from RNAcentral.